Molecule: ribosomal RNA, 433 nt
Filed under: uncultured bacterium
Lineage: Bacteria
Description: bacterial SSU rRNA
Rfam family: Bacterial small subunit ribosomal RNA
Source: RNAcentral
AACGAACGCUGGCGGCAUGCCUAACACAUGCAAGUCGAACGAGACCUUCGGGUCUAGUGGCGCACGGGUGCGUAACGCGUGGGAAUCUGCCCUUGGGUUCGGGAUAACAGUUGGAAACGACUGCUAAUACCGGAUGAUGACUUCGGUCCAAAGAUUUAUCGCCCAGGGAUGAGCCCGCGUAGGAUUAGCUAGUUGGUGAGGUAAAGGCUCACCAAGGCGACGAUCCUUAGCUGGUCUGAGAGGAUGAUCAGCCACACUGGGACUGAGACACGGCCCAGACUCCUACGGGAGGCAGCAGUGGGGAAUAUUGGACAAUGGGCGAAAGCCUGAUCCAGCAAUGCCGCGUGAGUGAUGAAGGCCUUAGGGUUGUAAAGCUCUUUUACCCGGGAUGAUAAUGACAGUACCGGGAGAAUAAGCCCCGGCUAACUCCGUG